GACAGAGGGUGCAAACGUUGUUCGGAAUUACUGGGCGUAAAGCGCGUGUAGGCUGUUCAGAAAGUCGGAUGUGAAAGCCCUGGGCUUAACCUAGGAAGUGCAUUCGAAACUUCUGAGCUUGAGUUCUGGAGAGGAAGGCGGAAUUCUCGGUGUAGAGGUGAAAUUCGUAGAUAUCGAGAGGAACACCGGUGGCGAAGGCGGCCUUCUGGACAGUGACUGACGCUGAGACGCGAAAGCGUGGGGAGCAAACAGG
Molecule: ribosomal RNA, 253 nt
Filed under: uncultured bacterium
Lineage: Bacteria
Description: partial 16S ribosomal RNA
Rfam family: Bacterial small subunit ribosomal RNA
Source: RNAcentral